GACGAACGCUGGCGGCGUGCUUAACACAUGCAAGUCGAACGGAAAGGCCCUGCUUUUGUGGGGUGCUCGAGUGGCGAACGGGUGAGUAACACGUGAGUAACCUGCCCUUGACUUUGGGAUAACUUCAGGAAACUGGGGCUAAUACCGGAUAGGAGCUCCUGCUGCAUGGUGGGGGUGGGAAAGUUUCGGCGGUUGGGGAUGGACUCGCGGCUUAUCAGCUUGUUUGUGGGGUAGUGGCUUACCAAGGCUUUGACGGGUAGCCGGCCUGAGAGGGUGACCGGCCACAUUGGGACUGAGAUACGGCCCAGACUCCUACGGGAGGCAGCAGUGGGGAAUAUUGCACAAUGGGCCGAAGCCUGAUGCAGCAACGCCGCGUGCGGGAUGACGGCCUUCGGGUUGUAAACCGCUUUCGCCUGUGACGAAGCGUGAGUGACGGUAAUGGGUAAAGAAGCACCGGCUAACUACGUG
Molecule: ribosomal RNA, 468 nt
Filed under: uncultured bacterium
Lineage: Bacteria
Description: partial 16S ribosomal RNA
Rfam family: Bacterial small subunit ribosomal RNA
Source: RNAcentral